AAAUAGGCGGUGCUCCAAUCAGGGCACCGUUUAAGAUAACACCCAUUGUAUUACAAGUACCUAUGUUUCCUCGGCGGGUUCGCCCGCCAAUGGGGACCACUAUAGAACCUUUUUGCAAUAGCAGUAAACGUCUAUAAACAAAUAAUCA
Molecule: unclassified non-coding RNA, 148 nt
Filed under: uncultured fungus
Lineage: Eukaryota; Fungi
Description: sequence contains ITS1
Source: RNAcentral